Molecule: ribosomal RNA, 449 nt
Filed under: uncultured bacterium
Lineage: Bacteria
Description: bacterial SSU rRNA
Rfam family: Bacterial small subunit ribosomal RNA
Source: RNAcentral
UCCAGACUCCUACGGGAGGCAGCAGUGGGGAAUAUUGCACAAUGGGGGGAACCCUGAUGCAGCGACGCCGCGUGAGCGAUGAAGUAUUUCGGUAUGUAAAGCCCUAUCGGCAGGGAAGAAGCAAGACGGUACCUGACUAAGAGGCCCCGGCUAACUACGUGCCAGCAGCCGCGGUAAUACGUAGGGGGCGAGCGUUAUCCGGAUUCACUGGGUGUAAAGGGGGCGCAGACGGCCAUGGCAAGCCCGGUGUGAAAGGCAGGGGCAUAACCCCUGGACUGCACUGGGAACUGUCAGGCUGGAGUGCCGGAGGGGUAAGCGGAAUUCCUGGUGUAGCGGUGAAAUGCGUAGAUAUCAGGAGGAACACCGGCGGCGAAGGCGGCUUACUGGACGGCAACUGACGUUGAGGCCCGAAAGCGUGGGGAGCGAACAGGAUUAGAUACCCUAGUAAC